This is a long non-coding RNA of Lemur catta (Ring-tailed lemur), 716 nucleotides long. RefSeq lists it as uncharacterized. NCBI's taxonomy places the organism in Eukaryota, Metazoa, Chordata, Mammalia, Primates, Lemuridae. The record is from RefSeq and is a predicted model, not a curated record. The transcript is spliced from 2 exons.
UUGAGUCUGGAAACCCUUUUCACUGCCCUAGGGCCUGAGGCCUGAAUGCGGCACCCUGAGGAAAGUCACUAAUCGGUUUCCUCCAAUGCUUCUCUAGUCUUCCACGAAGGGCGGGAGCUCCGGGAAAGGAGCUGAUCCCGGGGCAAUAUCCGAGUGACGGGAGGGAGACUACAGGACUGGGUUCGCUGGAGAUAAACGAGGGGGGUCAUGAUGUGAAAGCUCACUGUGUGGACAGUUCUGAGAUUCAAGUGGUGAGGCCAUGGCACAUCUGGACACUGAGGUCAUAGACUUGGUCUGCAAUUCCAGUGAAGGCCUUGUAAGUUUGAAACUGAACACCAAGGAACAAUUGUGCUCUGCGUUCCAGGGGUUGGGGAGAGGGGAAACACACCAUUCCUUGGAAAUCUUACUGCCUUAAGAGGGAUCCCUCAGACAUCAGUGACUUGUGUGAAAGAGGCCUUUGUGCUCUGGAGAAGGAGGCCCUUCUUGAAUGUUGGGACAAAACUUUUAAACAAGGAAUUGUACCACAUCUGGGCAUGAAGCCAGAGAACUGUCUGAGAGCAGGGCUAAGGUUCUCAAAGACUUUCAAGGAGAUUUCCAGCCUCUUCUAUUCCAGUCUAUUUUUUUUUUUUUCCUAAUUGACCAUUUUGUAUAUAUGGAGGUUAUUGGUUUUUUUGCUUUUAUAUCCUGAUACUUUAAUAAAUUUUUUGUUGUUUGUA